CUCUGUGCUACAGGGAGACACACAGACCUCUGCUCAGUAGAAGGCUAGCUAACGUGUCAGUCUUUCCAUCUGUGUAAUAGCCUACCACACAACACCUGUUUUCAUGCGUCAACUUGAUCGGACCACGGGGUACCCAGUUCUAACGCCACAAGUUUGCUGGAUGCCUGCCGCCGACCUGAGAGGUGUCAUGAGGCUGUUCCCUCCACAGGGACACACAGGAGGGCCACCAGAAACGAUGCCACUCAAGGACACACUGCAUGCCAUAACACUUGGUGGCCAUAAGAACAGUUAUUAAUAAGGAAGAGGCUGG
Grammomys surdaster is the source of this 310-nucleotide long non-coding RNA. RefSeq lists it as uncharacterized. The record is from RefSeq and is a predicted model, not a curated record. The transcript is spliced from 4 exons. Lineage: Eukaryota; Metazoa; Chordata; Mammalia; Rodentia; Muridae.